Molecule: transfer RNA, 81 nt
Filed under: Sphaerodactylus townsendi
Lineage: Eukaryota; Metazoa; Chordata; Lepidosauria; Squamata; Sphaerodactylidae
Description: tRNA-Ser
Source: RNAcentral
UUCAGGGCCAUGGCUCAGUGGUAGAGCACGGGCUUGGAAAGCGGAAGGUCCCAAGUUCAAUCCCUGGGACCCCAGUUGAAA